This 1187-nucleotide ribosomal RNA is filed under the name Klebsiella sp. HMSC09D12. RNAcentral's name for it is "bacterial LSU rRNA". It matches the Rfam family "Bacterial large subunit ribosomal RNA", at positions 591 to 1773 of the family's 2925-position model. The record is from RNAcentral. Lineage: Bacteria; Pseudomonadati; Pseudomonadota; Gammaproteobacteria; Enterobacterales; Enterobacteriaceae.
GGGUGACUGCGUACCUUUUGUAUAAUGGGUCAGCGACUUAUAUUCUGUAGCAAGGUUAACCGUAUAGGGGAGCCGCAGGGAAACCGAGUCUUAACUGGGCGUUAAGUUGCAGGGUAUAGACCCGAAACCCGGUGAUCUAGCCAUGGGCAGGUUGAAGGUUGGGUAACACUAACUGGAGGACCGAACCGACUAAUGUUGAAAAAUUAGCGGAUGACUUGUGGCUGGGGGUGAAAGGCCAAUCAAACCGGGAGAUAGCUGGUUCUCCCCGAAAGCUAUUUAGGUAGCGCCUCGUGAACUCAUCUUCGGGGGUAGAGCACUGUUUCGGCUAGGGGGUCAUCCCGACUUACCAACCCGAUGCAAACUACGAAUACCGAAGAAUGUUAUCACGGGAGACACACGGCGGGUGCUAACGUCCGUCGUGAAGAGGGAAACAACCCAGACCGCCAGCUAAGGUCCCAAAGUCAUGGUUAAGUGGGAAACGAUGUGGGAAGGCCCAGACAGCCAGGAUGUUGGCUUAGAAGCAGCCAUCAUUUAAAGAAAGCGUAAUAGCUCACUGGUCGAGUCGGCCUGCGCGGAAGAUGUAACGGGGCUAAACCAUGCACCGAAGCUGCGGCAGCGACACUAUGUGUUGUUGGGUAGGGGAGCGUUCUGUAAGCCGUUGAAGGUGGCCUGUGAGGGUUGCUGGAGGUAUCAGAAGUGCGAAUGCUGACAUAAGUAACGAUAAUGCGGGUGAAAAACCCGCACGCCGGAAGACCAAGGGUUCCUGUCCAACGUUAAUCGGGGCAGGGUGAGUCGACCCCUAAGGCGAGGCCGAAAGGCGUAGUCGAUGGGAAACAGGUUAAUAUUCCUGUACUUGGUGUUACUGCGAAGGGGGGACGGAGAAGGCUAUGUUGGCCGGGCGACGGUUGUCCCGGUUUAAGCAUGUAGGCGGAUGUUCCAGGUAAAUCCGGAACGUCACUAACGCUGAGGGGUGAUGACGAGGCACUACGGUGCUGAAGUGACAAAUGCCCUGCUUCCAGGAAAAGCCUCUAAGCAUCAGGUAACAUCAAAUCGUACCCCAAACCGACACAGGUGGUCAGGUAGAGAAUACCAAGGCGCUUGAGAGAACUCGGGUGAAGGAACUAGGCAAAAUGGUGCCGUAACUUCGGGAGAAGGCACGCUGAUGGUAGGUGAAGUGACUUGCUCAU